ACUCUAGUAGCUUAAACCACCAAAAGCAUUGGUCUUGUAAACCAAAGAAUGAAAACCACAACCUUCCUAGAGUA
Molecule: transfer RNA, 74 nt
Filed under: Apalone ferox (Florida softshell turtle)
Lineage: Eukaryota; Metazoa; Chordata; Testudines; Trionychidae
Also listed under: 1 other name
Description: tRNA-Thr
Rfam family: tRNA
About the family: Transfer RNA (tRNA) molecules are approximately 80 nucleotides in length. Their secondary structure includes four short double-helical elements and three loops (D, anti-codon, and T loops).
Source: RNAcentral